AUUGAACGCUGGCGGCAGGCCUAACACAUGCAAGUCGAGCGAGCGGCGGACGGGUGAGUAAUGUAUGGGGAUCUGCCCGAUGGAGGGGGAUAACUACUGGAAACGGUAGCUAAUACCGCAUACUAUCAGAUGAACCCAUAUUGGAUUAGCUUAUAGGUGAGGUAAAGGCUCACCUAGGCGACGAUCCCUUGCUGGUCUGAGAGGAUGAUCAGCCACACUGGGACUGAGACACUGCCGAGACUCCUACGGGAGGCAGCAGUGGGGAAUAUUGCACAAUGGGCGCAAGCCUGAUGCAGCCAUGCCGCGUGUAUGAAGAAGGCCUUCGGGUUGUAAAGUACUUUCAGACGGGAGGCGUUACCGACAGAAGAAGCACCGGCUAACUCCGUGCCAGCAGCCGCGGUAAUUC
RNAcentral lists this ribosomal RNA (406 nucleotides) under uncultured bacterium. RNAcentral's name for it is "partial 16S ribosomal RNA". It matches the Rfam family "Bacterial small subunit ribosomal RNA", at positions 30 to 526 of the family's 1533-position model. The record is from RNAcentral.